CUUCUAGUGUUCCAUCUUUAUUUUCGUCAUCUUCUUUUUCUUUCUCUUCUUCUUCUUCUGCAGCUUCUGGAAGCUAUGACAUCAAACAAUGGAAAAUACUGCUUGUUCAAAAAUUUGUUACCAAAAUUGCUGUUCCUCCACUGCACCCACUCUGCCAUAGUCAUCCACUAAAAUUAAUGAAAUGCUAAGAAAACCGUGGGUGCACCCUGCAGUAUUCCAGAUUUCCAAGAUUUCUGUGAUUUACAGGAUGCUGGAUGUUUCCAAGAAUCCCAGCAUCAUAGAAAUACUGGUUGGGAAGAACCUCUGAGGCCAUCUGGUCCAACCUCACUAUUGGUAAGACCAGACCAAGUCAGCUCUGGUUUGUCUUCUGGAAUGCCUGUGCUUGUCUCUUUGACAUCUAAUCCCUGUAGCUAAUGUGUCCAAGACCUGGAUCCUUUUUUAGUUUAUCAGUUUGGCUGUGAGACCACACUGAGAAGAAGUGUUUAAUCUAGGGUGAUCUAAAACACUUACUCCUUUAAGCAACUGAAAAGUUGAUCUGGUCCCAGGUCCCACUAGCCAGGGGCAUGAGGCAUCCUUCAUUAGGAAGUCAUUAGGAAACAGACUGAAAUUCUAGUACAAGCGUAGAGGCACGCUUUACAUUUCAACAUAUUGGCACUGCAAGUUACACUUACUUUUUAAAGUAUGUAAAUAUUCAGUACUGUGAGGUGAAACAGUCCCCAUUCCUUACAGUGUAAUACCUUCCAUCCAAACCAUGACUAAGAAGGCAUCCUCUUUGCCAGCUAUGCUCUCACAAGCCAAGAGAAUAGAAACCUCAGAGCUGUGCACCAAACAUGGUAUGACUUUCAUCCUCUGCCAUACACAGAUGGCCCACAGGCCAGAAUGCACAGGAGGAGCAAAGGAACAGCAAAUGUGAACAUAUCACAGUCCUCAGAGUUGGUUUAUGUGGCUAGUGCAAUUAAGAGGUCCAGAACCUAAAGAAAAUUCAUAAACCUAACUUCCCAAUUCUUACAACAGUUUUUGAUUACCUCUUAUGUGAAAUUUUUGCAGAAGAGAAGAUUCCUAU
Molecule: long non-coding RNA, 1063 nt
Organism: Dromaius novaehollandiae (emu)
Lineage: Eukaryota; Metazoa; Chordata; Aves; Casuariiformes; Dromaiidae
Exons: 3
Source: RefSeq, a predicted model, not a curated record